AAUCUUGCACAAUGGGGGAAACCCUGAUGCAGCGACGCCGCGUGAGUGAAGAAGUAUUUCGGUAUGUAAAGCUCUAUCAGCAGGGACGAUAAUGACGGUACCUGACUAAGAAGCCCCGGCUAACUACGUGCCAGCAGCCGCGGUAAUACGUAGGGGGCAAGCGUUAUCCGGAUUUACUGGGUGUAAAGGGAGCGUAGGUGGCAUGGUAAGUCAGAUGUGAAAACACGGAGCUUAACUCCGGGUGGGCAUUUGAAUCGGCCUUGCUAGAGUGCAGGGGAGGUAAGUGGAAUGCCUAGUGUAGCGGUGAAAUGCGUAGAUAUUAGGAGGAACAGCGGUGGCGAAGGCGGCUUACUGGACUGUAACUGACACUGAGGCUCGAAAGCGUGGGGAGCAAACA
RNAcentral lists this ribosomal RNA (397 nucleotides) under uncultured bacterium. Its description in RNAcentral is "partial 16S ribosomal RNA". It matches the Rfam family "Bacterial small subunit ribosomal RNA", at positions 360 to 774 of the family's 1533-position model. The record is from RNAcentral.